UACGAAGGGUGCUAGCGUUGCUCGGAAUCACUGGGCGUAAAGGGUGCGUAGGCGGGUCUUUAAGUCAGGGGUGAAAUCCUGGAGCUCAACUCCAGAACUGCCUUUGAUACUGAGGAUCUUGAGUCCGGGAGAGGUGAGUGGAACUGCGAGUGUAGAGGUGAAAUUCGUAGAUAUUCGCAAGAACACCAGUGGCGAAGGCGGCUCACUGGCCCGGUACUGACGCUGAGGCACGAAAGCGUGGGGAGCAAACAGG
RNAcentral lists this ribosomal RNA (253 nucleotides) under uncultured bacterium. Its description in RNAcentral is "partial 16S ribosomal RNA". It matches the Rfam family "Bacterial small subunit ribosomal RNA", at positions 524 to 776 of the family's 1533-position model. The record is from RNAcentral.